UCUCCGUAGGUGAACCUGCGGAAGGAUCAUUACAGAGUUCUCGCCCUCACGGGUAGAUCUCCCACCCACUGUUAUCGUUACUGUCGUUUCUUUGGCGGGCCGCCGGGUCCCCGGCCGCCGGCGCCUAGCUGCCGGCGCGCGCCCGCCAGAGGCCUUCAAACUCUGAAUGUUAGUGUCGUCUGAGUACUAUAUAAUAGUUAAAACUUUCAACAACGGAUCUCUUGGUUCUG
Molecule: unclassified non-coding RNA, 230 nt
Filed under: plant metagenome
Description: partial contains small subunit ribosomal RNA, internal transcribed spacer 1, and 5.8S ribosomal RNA
Source: RNAcentral